UGAUGAUGUCGAACUAAACCAUACAGAUGAUGAAGAUGAUGAAUCCAGUGAUGUAGGGAAAGAUGGAGAUGAUGAUUUCGAACUAAACCAUACAGAUGAUGAAGAUUAUGAAUCCAGUGAUAUAAAUGAUGCAAGUCUGUCACUCAUAUUGGCUCUAGCUGUGUGUUACCGAGCUGGUUUAAGAUGCAGAGAAGAAUUUGAUGAAAAUAUUAUUAAACACUUCACAGCACCAUGCUCUGUUCCUGGAGGAUCGAAACAAUU
Molecule: long non-coding RNA, 261 nt
Organism: Patella vulgata (common limpet)
Lineage: Eukaryota; Metazoa; Mollusca; Gastropoda; Patellidae
Exons: 3
Source: RefSeq, a predicted model, not a curated record